UACGAAGGGGGCUAGCGUUGCUCGGAAUCACUGGGCGUAAAGGGUGCGUAGGCGGGUCUUUAAGUCAGGGGUGAAAUCCUGGAGCUCAACUCCAGAACUGCCUUUGAUACUGAAGAUCUUGAGUUCGGGAGAGGUGAGUGGAACUGCGAGUGUAGAGGUGAAAUUCGUAGAUAUUCGCAAGAACACCAGUGGCGAAGGCGGCUCGCUGGGACGCAACUGACGCUGAGACGCGAAAGCGUGGGGAGCAAACAGG
Molecule: ribosomal RNA, 253 nt
Filed under: uncultured bacterium
Lineage: Bacteria
Description: partial 16S ribosomal RNA
Rfam family: Bacterial small subunit ribosomal RNA
Source: RNAcentral